ACUCAAAGGAAUUGACGGGGGCCCGCACAAGCGGUGGAACAUGUGGUUUAAUUCGAUGCAACGCGAAGAACCUUACCUGGGCUUGACAUCUAUGGAACCUUGCGGAAACGUGAGGGUGCCUUCGGGAGCCAUAAGACAGGUGGUGCACGGUUGUCGUCAGCUCGUGUCGUGAGAUGUUGGGUUAAGUCCCGCAACGAGCGCAACCCUCGUUGUCUGUUGCUACAGGCUGUAAAGUGCUGAGCACUCAGGCGAGACUGCCGGUGACAAACCGGAGGAAGGUGGGGAUGACGUCAAAUCAUCAUGCCCCUUAUGUCCAGGGCUACACACGUGUUACAAUGGGUCGGACAACGGGCAGCCAGCCAGCAAUGGUGCGCUAAUCCCUUAAACCGCCCCUCAGUUCGGAUUGGAGUCUGCAACUCGACUCCAUGAAGUCGGAAUCGCUAGUAACCGCGGAUCAGCUACGCCGCGGUGAAUACGUUCCCGGGCCUUGUACACACCGCCCGU
This 504-nucleotide ribosomal RNA is filed under the name uncultured bacterium. RNAcentral's name for it is "partial 16S ribosomal RNA". It matches the Rfam family "Bacterial small subunit ribosomal RNA", at positions 899 to 1397 of the family's 1533-position model. The record is from RNAcentral.